GUGUGGUAGGGGCAGAGGGAAUUCCCGGUGUAGCGGUGACAUGCGUAGAUAUCGGGAAGAACACCAGUGGCGAAGGCGCUCUGCUGGGCCAUAACUGACGCUCAUGGACGAAAACCAGGGAGCGAAAGGGAUUAGAUACCCCUGUAGUCCUGGCCGUAAACGAUGAACACUAGGUGUCGGGGGAAUCGACCCCCUCGGUGUCGUAGCCAACGCGUUAAGUGUUCCGCCUGGGGAGUACGCACGCAAGUGUGAAACUCAAAGGAAUUGACGGGGGCCCGCACAAUCGGUGGAGUAAGUGGUUUAAUUCGAUGCAACGCGAAGAACCUUACCAGGGUUUGACAUCCUGCGAAUCUCUUGGAAACGAGAGAGUGCCUUCGGGAACGCAGUGACGGGUGGUGCAUGGCUGUCGUCAGCUCGUGUCGUGAGAUGUUGGGUUAAGUCCCGCAACGAGCGCAACCCACGUCGUUAGUUGCCAGCAUUUAGUUGGGCACUCUAGCGAGACCGCCGGUGAUAAACCGUAGGAAGGUGUGGAUGACGUCAAGUCAUCAUGCCCCUUACAUCCUGGGCUACACACGUACUACAAUGCUACGGACAAAGGGCAGCAAACUCGCGAGAGCUAGCUAAUCCCAUAAACCGUGGCUCAGUUCAGAUCGUAGGCUGCAACUCGCCUACGUGAAGGAGGAAUCGCUAGUAAUCGCAGGUCAGCAUACUGCGGUGAAUACGUUCCCGGGCCUUGUACACACCGCCCGUCACACCAUGGAAGUUGGCCACGCCCGAAGCCGUUUCUCCAACCCUUGUGGAGGAGGACGUCGAAGGUGGGGCUGAUGACUGGGGCGAAGUCGUAACAAGGUAGCCGUACCGGAAGGUGCGGCUGGAUCACCUCCUAA
Molecule: ribosomal RNA, 887 nt
Filed under: uncultured Synechococcus sp.
Lineage: Bacteria; Bacillati; Cyanobacteriota; Cyanophyceae; Synechococcales; Synechococcaceae
Description: bacterial SSU rRNA
Rfam family: Bacterial small subunit ribosomal RNA
Source: RNAcentral